UACGAAGGGGGCUAGCGUUGCUCGGAAUCACUGGGCGUAAAGCGCACGUAGGCGGAUCGUUAAGUCGGGGGUGAAAUCCUGGAGCUCAACUCCGGAACUGCCUUCGAUACUGGCGAUCUUGGAGUCCGGGAGAGGUGAGUGGAACUCCGAGUGUAGAGGUGAAAUUCGUAGAUAUUCGGAAGAACACCAGUGGCGAAGGCGGCUCACUGGCCCGGUACUGACGCUGAGGUGCGAAAGCGUGGGGAGCAAACAGG
Molecule: ribosomal RNA, 254 nt
Filed under: uncultured bacterium
Lineage: Bacteria
Description: partial 16S ribosomal RNA
Rfam family: Bacterial small subunit ribosomal RNA
Source: RNAcentral